UUGCAGAGAGAAAUCACAGUG
RNAcentral lists this small nuclear RNA (21 nucleotides) under Arabidopsis thaliana (thale cress). RNAcentral describes it as "snRNA_13532". The record is from RNAcentral. Lineage: Eukaryota; Viridiplantae; Streptophyta; Magnoliopsida; Brassicales; Brassicaceae.